Anthonomus grandis grandis is the source of this 850-nucleotide long non-coding RNA. RefSeq lists it as uncharacterized. The record is from RefSeq and is a predicted model, not a curated record. Lineage: Eukaryota; Metazoa; Arthropoda; Insecta; Coleoptera; Curculionidae. The transcript is spliced from 4 exons.
AAAAAUAAAACUAAAAACUGGCUUCUACAUGUACAUAUACAAAAAAUAAAACAGGUUAGUUGUCACUUCUUUAUUCAUUGACGCAAUAAUAAUAAUUAUUGCCAGGCCAUAAAAAACACCAUUUGGCAAACUCGUUAUGAUAAACAACUUAAUAGCGAUUUCAAAGGUCUCCAAAAAACCCGUAUUUAAUUAUUUUACUAAAUUUAACGUUAAAUUGAGUACCAAUUAACUAAGGAAUUGGAAUUCUCAAACUGACCUGCCAUUAUUUCUUCCAAAAUUCUCCACCGUAAACACGCUGAUCACCUUUUCUGACUCCCUCUGACCCCGGUUAUCACCCACAUUCACCCUCAUUUUCACCAUAUUUAUUGCGUUCACCAAAUAAUUGCACAUAAGUACUUGACAACCCUGACGUCACAAUAUCGCGCUAACCCUCGAAUAAAUUUUAUCGGUUUUCCACGUGGUACCAGGCGAGCGAUUAAGAGAGACUGGCGUACCAAGUUGGACUAUCGCCGAUUGGUCGGCGGUACCGUUAUCUCGAAUCACAAGGGUAGAUCAUAUCAUAGAGAAGAUCUAAGGAUCACAUCAUACUGACCAAGGCAAAACGAACACGUUCACUUUAUGGCGGCAGCUUGGUGCCAGCAUACUAGAGAGAGAAAGAAGCUAUACCACGCGAGACGAAGAGUAUGAUGGAUAUGGAUGCUAUAGGUUUCUUUUGUUUCAUUAUGGUAUACUCGAAUUGCACCAAUCGUUAAAUUUAAAAUAGUGGAUGACAAUAUGGUUUUGCCUCGAGUUUUUUUAAUAUAAUUAUUAUGUCUUCUAUAUAUAUUUAAAUAUCAUUAUAAAGAAGCAA